CCCUGCCCUUUGUCCACACCGCCCGUCGCUACUACCGAUUGAAUGGCUCAGUGAGGCGUCCGGACUGGCCCAGAGAGGUGGGCAACUACCCCUCAGGGCCGGAAAGCUCUCCAAACACAGUCAUUUAGAGGAAGUAAAAGUCGUAACAAGG
RNAcentral lists this ribosomal RNA (151 nucleotides) under Ophiocordyceps macroacicularis. Its description in RNAcentral is "partial small subunit ribosomal RNA". It matches the Rfam family "Eukaryotic small subunit ribosomal RNA", at positions 1651 to 1799 of the family's 1831-position model. The record is from RNAcentral. Lineage: Eukaryota; Fungi; Ascomycota; Sordariomycetes; Hypocreales; Ophiocordycipitaceae.